Picea glauca (white spruce) is the source of this 129-nucleotide non-coding RNA. The record is from Rfam. NCBI's taxonomy places the organism in Eukaryota, Viridiplantae, Streptophyta, Pinopsida, Pinales, Pinaceae.
UCUUAUGUACAUGCCUAUGACAUAGCGUUAAUGCAUCGGAUCCCAUUAGAACUCUGUAAUUAAGAGCGCUUGGGAUAGAGUAGUAUUGGGAUGGGUGACUGCCUGAGAAGACCUAGUAUUUUACAUGCC